Molecule: ribosomal RNA, 463 nt
Filed under: uncultured bacterium
Lineage: Bacteria
Description: partial 16S ribosomal RNA
Rfam family: Bacterial small subunit ribosomal RNA
Source: RNAcentral
GACGAACGCUGGCGGCGUGCUUAACACAUGCAAGUCGAACGGUGAACCUCUUCGGAGGGGAUCAGUGGCGAACGGGUGAGUAACACGUGGGCAACCUGCCCCCGGCUCUGGGAUAACUCCAAGAAAUUGGGGCUAAUACCGGAUGUUCACCGCUUCCCGCAUGGGUGGUGGUGGAAAGGGUUUCCGGCUGGGGAUGGGCCCGCGGCCUAUCAGCUUGUUGGUGGGGUAGUGGCCUACCAAGGCGACGACGGGUAGCCGGCCUGAGAGGGUGACCGGCCACACUGGGACUGAGACACGGCCCAGACUCCUACGGGAGGCAGCAGUGGGGAAUAUUGCGCAAUGGGCGGAAGCCUGACACAGCGACGCCGCGUGGGGGAUGACGGCCUUCGGGUUGUAAACCUCUUUCAGCAGGGACGAAGCGCAAGUGACGGUACCUGUAGAAGAAGCACCGGCCAACUACGUG